UUGAAGAAGACGAGGUAGAUAGGCCGGAGGUGUAAGAGUAGAAAUACUUUCAGCUGACCGGUACUAAUAAGUCGAGGACUUGACCUU
This 87-nucleotide ribosomal RNA is filed under the name Thermoanaerobacterium sp. Its description in RNAcentral is "partial 23S ribosomal RNA". It matches the Rfam family "Bacterial large subunit ribosomal RNA", at positions 2838 to 2925 of the family's 2925-position model. Lineage: Bacteria; Bacillati; Bacillota; Clostridia; Thermoanaerobacterales; Thermoanaerobacteraceae. The record is from RNAcentral.